AUACUUACCUGGCAGGGAACAUACCAUGAUCACGAAGGUGGUUUUCCCAGGGCAAGGCUUAUCCAUUGCACUCCGGUUGUGCUGAGCCCUGCAAUUUCCCCAAAUGUGGGAAACUUGACUGCAUAAUUUGUGGUUGUGCGUUCAUGCUUU
RNAcentral lists this small nuclear RNA (150 nucleotides) under Aotus nancymaae (Ma's night monkey). RNAcentral's name for it is "U1 spliceosomal RNA (ENSANAG00000005674.1)". It matches the Rfam family "U1 spliceosomal RNA". From Rfam's summary of the family: U1 is a small nuclear RNA (snRNA) component of the spliceosome (involved in pre-mRNA splicing). Its 5' end forms complementary base pairs with the 5' splice junction, thus defining the 5' donor site of an intron. The record is from Rfam by way of RNAcentral. Lineage: Eukaryota; Metazoa; Chordata; Mammalia; Primates; Aotidae.